GACGAACCGAGCGAACGUUGUUCGGAAUAACUGGGCUUAAAGGGCGCGUAGGCGGGCCGCCAAGUUCGAGGUGAAAUCCUCCGGCUCAACCGGAGAACUGCCUCGAAUACUGGAGGCCUCGAGGCGGGUAGGGGCAUGCGGAACUGUGGGUGGAGCGGUGAAAUGCGUAGAUAUCUGGAGGAACACCGGUGGCGAAGGCGGCGUUCUGGACUGCAACUGACACUGAGAAACGAAAGCCAGGGUAGCAAACGGG
This 253-nucleotide ribosomal RNA is filed under the name uncultured bacterium. RNAcentral's name for it is "partial 16S ribosomal RNA". It matches the Rfam family "Bacterial small subunit ribosomal RNA", at positions 524 to 776 of the family's 1533-position model. The record is from RNAcentral.